This 471-nucleotide ribosomal RNA is filed under the name uncultured Glomus. Its description in RNAcentral is "SSU rRNA". It matches the Rfam family "Eukaryotic small subunit ribosomal RNA", at positions 569 to 1045 of the family's 1831-position model. Lineage: Eukaryota; Fungi; Glomeromycota; Glomeromycetes; Glomerales; Glomeraceae. The record is from RNAcentral.
AGCAGCCGCGGUAAUUCCAGCUCCAAUAGCGUAUAUUAAAGUUGUUGCAGUUAAAAAGCUCGUAGUUGAAUUUCGGGGUCAGUAGGUCGGUCGUGCCACUGGUAUGCACUGGUCUCACUGAUUCCUCCUUCUUGAAGAACCGUAAUGUCAUUAACUUGGUGUUGCGGGGAAACAGGACUGUUACCUUGAAAAAUUAGAGUGUUUAAAGCAGGCCAGCGCCUGAAUACAUUAGCAUGGAAUAAUGAAAUAGGACGUUCGAUCCUAUUUUGUUGGUUUCUAGGAUUGACGUAAUGAUUAAUAGGGAUAGUUGGGGGCAUUAGUAUUCAAUUGUCAGAGGUGAAAUUCUUGGAUUUAUUGAAGACUAACUACUGCGAAAGCAUUUGCCAAGGAUGUUUUCAUUAAUCAAGAACGAAAGUUAGGGGAUCGAAGACGAUCAGAUACCGUCGUAGUCUUAACCAUAAACUAUGCCGA